RNAcentral lists this ribosomal RNA (254 nucleotides) under uncultured bacterium. RNAcentral's name for it is "partial 16S ribosomal RNA". It matches the Rfam family "Bacterial small subunit ribosomal RNA", at positions 524 to 776 of the family's 1533-position model. The record is from RNAcentral.
UACGUAGGGAGCAAGCGUUGUCCGGAAUCAUUGGGCGUAAAGAGCGCGUAGGCGGUCCGGUAAGUCGGUUGUGAAAACUGGGGGCUCAACCCUCAGAGGCCGACCGAUACUGCCGGGCUAGAGUCCGGAAGAGGCGAGUGGAAUUCCUGGUGUAGCGGUGAAAUGCGCAGAUAUCAGGAGGAAUACCGGUGGCGGAAGGCGCAUCCUGGACCGGCAAUUGACGCUGAGGAGCGAAAGCCAGGGGAGCAAACAGG